RNAcentral lists this ribosomal RNA (443 nucleotides) under uncultured bacterium. RNAcentral describes it as "partial 16S ribosomal RNA". It matches the Rfam family "Bacterial small subunit ribosomal RNA", at positions 338 to 795 of the family's 1533-position model. The record is from RNAcentral.
CCUACGGGGGACUGCAGUGGGGAAUAUUGGACAAUGGGGGGAACCCUGAUCCAGCGACGCCGCGUGAGUGAAGAAGUAUUUCGGUAUGUAAAGCUCUAUCAGCAGGGAAGAAAGAAAUGACGGUACCUGACUAAGAAGCCCCGGCUAACUACGUGCCAGCAGCCGCGGUAAUACGUAGGGGGCAAGCGUUAUCCGGAUUUACUGGGUGUAAAGGGAGCGUAGGCGGCGAUGCAAGUCUGAAGUGAAAGGCGGGGGCCCAACCUCCGGACUGCUUUGGAAACUGUAUGGCUGGAGUGCAGGGGAGGUAAGUGGAAUGCCUAGUGUAGCGGUGAAAUGCGUAGAUAUUAGGAAGAACACCAGUGGCGAAGGCGGCUUACUGGACUGUAACUGACGUUGAGGCUCGAAAGCGUGGGGAGCAAACAGGAUUAGAUACUCCAGUAGUC